UCCAAUUAAAUGCUUUCUUUUAUAAGAGUUGCUGUGGUCAUGGUGUCUCUUCAUGACAACAGAACACUGACUGAAACAGUCACCUUUAAUUUUUUCACCUGUAUAUUGUAUCUAACAGUGUUUGAAGUUGGGCUCGAGGACUGCCUUUAAUCACAACUUGGGAGGUAGAGGCAGUUGGACCACUGUGAGUUUGAGGUGACUUUCUAAGAAGCCCAAGUUGGUCUUAAACCAAAAAAGAAAAAAGAAAUCAAUCCUAUGAGGUCCAGAAUGUUGUGUCAGUCUCUAGGAUGCUGGAAAGACAGGCACCAAACUUAUGUCUAAGUAUGCAUUAUUUUAAAAAUAUUCCACAGGAGCUUAUAAGCAAUGCAUUUUGUUAAUUCAUAUUCAUUAAUAGACUAAGCACCACUGCCAUGUUGCCCCAAAUUUCCCUAUCCUUAUAAAUACUUUAUUACUUGA
Molecule: long non-coding RNA, 456 nt
Organism: Peromyscus leucopus (white-footed mouse)
Lineage: Eukaryota; Metazoa; Chordata; Mammalia; Rodentia; Cricetidae
Exons: 2
Source: RefSeq, a predicted model, not a curated record